UGGAGAAUUUUGGACAAUGGGCGAAAGCCUGAUCCAGCCAUGCCGCGUGAGUGAAGAAGGCCUUCGGGUUGUAAAGCUCUUUUAGUCGGAAAGAAAAGAUCAUAAUGAACAAUUAUGAUUCAUGACGGUACCGACAGAAAAAGCACCGGCUAACUACGUGCCAGCAGCCGCGGUAAUACGUAGGGUGCGAGCGUUAAUCGGAAUUACUGGGCGUAAAGGGUGCGCAGGCGGUUUUGUAAGUCAGAUGUGAAAUCCCCGGGCUUAACCUGGGAAUUGCGUUUGAAACUGCAAGACUAGAGUGCAGCAGAGGGGAGUGGAAUUCCAUGUGUAGCAGUGAAAUGCGUAGAGAUGUGGAAGAACACCGAUGGCGAAGGCAGCUCCCUGGGGUGACACUGACGCUCAUGCACGAAAGCGUGGGGAGCAAACA
RNAcentral lists this ribosomal RNA (427 nucleotides) under uncultured beta proteobacterium. Its description in RNAcentral is "bacterial SSU rRNA". It matches the Rfam family "Bacterial small subunit ribosomal RNA", at positions 355 to 774 of the family's 1533-position model. The record is from RNAcentral. Lineage: Bacteria; Pseudomonadati; Pseudomonadota; Betaproteobacteria.